CGGCGGACGGGUGAGUAAUGCCUGGGAAUAUGCCCUGAUGUGGGGGAUAACUAUUGGAAACGAUAGCUAAUACCGCAUAAUCUCUUCGGAGCAGAGAGGGGGACCUUCGGGCCUCUCGCGUCAGGAUUAUCCCAGGUGGGAUUAGCUUGUUGGUGAGGUAAUGGCUCACCAAGGCAACGAUCCCUAACUGGUCUGAGAGGAUGAUCAGCCACACUGGAACUGAGACACGGUCCAGACUCCUACGGGAGGCAGCAGUGGGGAAUAUUGCACAAUGGGGGAAACCCUGAUGCAGCCAUGCCGCGUGUAUGAAGAAGGCCUUCGGGUUGUAAAGUACUUUCAGUAGGGAGGAAGGCAGAGUCGUUAAUAGCGGCAUUGUUUGACGUUACCUACAGAAGAAGCACCGGCUAACUCCGUGCCAGCAGCCGCGGUAAUACGGAGGGUGCGAGCGUUAAUCGGAAUUACUGGGCGUAGAGCGCAUGCAGGCGGUCUGUUAAGCAAGAUGUGAAAGCCCGGAGCUCACCCUCGGAACAGCAUUUUGAACUGGCAGACUAGAGACUUGUA
Molecule: ribosomal RNA, 561 nt
Filed under: Photobacterium leiognathi
Lineage: Bacteria; Pseudomonadati; Pseudomonadota; Gammaproteobacteria; Vibrionales; Vibrionaceae
Description: bacterial SSU rRNA
Rfam family: Bacterial small subunit ribosomal RNA
Source: RNAcentral